Molecule: long non-coding RNA, 329 nt
Organism: Polyodon spathula (Mississippi paddlefish)
Lineage: Eukaryota; Metazoa; Chordata; Actinopteri; Acipenseriformes; Polyodontidae
Exons: 4
Source: RefSeq, a predicted model, not a curated record
GGAGUCGAGGGGAAUGGUGUUUUGUUUCCUUUCUCUUAUAGUUUAAUCCCGGGGCUUUCUUCUUUAUUGUUUUAUAUUUCCCUUUUUUCUUCCUUUCUCUGUUUCCAUUCUGUCCCGCGGAGGAUUUAGUUCUGCUAGUUUCACAAACUGAGUCGUUGUUAGGGUUUAUUUUAUUAUUAUUAUAAUAUUUUUUUUGUAAUUAACUUGGCUCCCCUGUCUGGUGUGGUUGAGUGAUUUAUUUUUGCAAAGUAGAGCCGAGUAGAAAAGGACCACCGCUUGCCUCUGUGUGAAUGAAAACGCUUCAUUUUGAGAGUUUGCCUGGAAGGGAG